Molecule: long non-coding RNA, 1095 nt
Filed under: Apteryx haastii (Great spotted kiwi)
Lineage: Eukaryota; Metazoa; Chordata; Aves; Apterygiformes; Apterygidae
Description: lncRNA (ENSAHAG00000008876.1)
Source: RNAcentral
AUGCUAACAAGAACAGGUCCAAAGGCUCCUGGCAAAGGCAUCCCUUUCCAGCAGCUGGGGAGGCUGCCGUCAUGCCGUGCCAGGUAUUCCCCUACCAAAUCACCUGCUCUUGGCACAUCCCAAGAAAACAGGAUUCCUCUCCAAUUUCCGCAAGCUCCCGAUGGCUCCUACCUGCCCGGCUGCUCUCUGCCAGCUCCCGACGGGCUGCUUGGCCAAUGCCCCGCCGCGGAGAGCGUCUCUCCCAGGCAGCCAGCUCGCUUUCUGGCUGGGCUGAGCGGAGAAACACGGGAGCCGGAGGAGCCUCCGCGCCGGCCGGUUCGCAGGCGCGAGGCAGGAGCAGCCGCCCCAGCCGGGCAAAGUGCCACUCGGGCUGGGAACAAGGUGCGUUUCCCCGAAGCGGAGCCCAGCCGCAGAGACACUGGCAUGAGCUGUUCCACCAAACACGCAAGCUCAUUCCUCAUAACAAGUUCGCACAGACUAAAGGAACGAACUCCAAUAAAGUUUUAUUGCUUCCUGUGCCCAGUCCUCCGGGGAUCCCCAGCAAAGCCUCAGCCACCGGUGGCAAACGCCAGGGCUUGGAUGCAAUAUGGACUGAAGGGGGGGAAAAAAAUUCCUGCGGACCUGCUGGCCAUCAGAAGUGUCAAACAGAUAUUCAGGAUGGAUUCAGCCCCGAAUCAGAAAAGAAGAACCACUUCAUCCACACUUACAAGCUGGUCACACCCUCGAGCUCUCCGGAGAAGUUUUACAGCUCAUAAAACCCUCUGGAUGCAACGGGGGAGAAGCCACAGUCCGCUCGCGACCUUGGAAGCGGCGACUGCUCCGGGGGACAGGACGUCUCCCCAGCCGGGACGCGGGGGGCGCACGCAGGCAGCGCCAGCCCCUCGCAGCACCCGCCGCCAGCAAAGCGUGCGAACCAGAAGGGCUUCUCCCCCGCACCCACGGGACGGCUUACGCAGCGAAAAGCACGCCUUCUAUCCAAACGGAGAUCUUCCUUCCCGCACGCGCCGCUCAGCUAUCCAUCAUCAAGCCCAAAACAACAGGGCGCAGGGGACUAUUUUAACAGACGGCACGAACAGGAGACACAAAGACGGGUAG